AUUGGAGGCACUGCCUGCCCAGUGACGACCGUUAAACGGCCGCGGUAUCCUGACCGUGCAAAGGUAGCAUAAUCACUUGUUCUCUAAAUAGGGACUUGUAUGAAUGGCCACACGAGGGUUUUACUGUCUCUUACUUCCAAUCAGUGAAAUUGACCUUCCCGUGAAGAGGCGGGAAUAUAUUAAUAAGACGAGAAGACCCUAUGGAGCUUUAACUACUUAGCCCAAAGAGACAAAUUUCAUUACCAAGGAAACAACAACACUCUUUAUGGGCUAACAGCUUUGGUUGGGGUGACCUCGGAGAACAAGAAAACCUCCGAGCGAUUUUAAAGACUAGACCUACAAGUCGAAUCACGCAAUCGUUUAUUGAUCCAAAAAAUUGAUCAACGGAACAAGUUACCCUAGGGAUA
Molecule: ribosomal RNA, 407 nt
Filed under: Rusa unicolor (Sambar)
Lineage: Eukaryota; Metazoa; Chordata; Mammalia; Artiodactyla; Cervidae
Description: partial 16S ribosomal RNA
Rfam family: Bacterial large subunit ribosomal RNA
Source: RNAcentral